RNAcentral lists this non-coding RNA (835 nucleotides) under Chiasmocleis crucis. RNAcentral's name for it is "partial small subunit ribosomal RNA". It matches the Rfam family "Bacterial small subunit ribosomal RNA". The record is from RNAcentral. Lineage: Eukaryota; Metazoa; Chordata; Amphibia; Anura; Microhylidae.
AGCCCUUAUGUCAUCUAUUGCCAUUCUUCCACAUGCAAGUAUCUGCACACCCGUGAAACGCCUCAACCCCUUUAACCAAGGAAGAGGAGUUGGUAUCAGGCACAACCAAUAAGCCCACGACACCUAGCCACGCCACACCCACAAGGGUAUUCAGCAGUGAUAAACAUUGUUUAUAAGCGUCAGCUUGAAUCAGUUAAGGCAAAGAGGGCCGGCAAAUCCGGUGCCAGCCGCCGCGGCUACACCGUUAGGCCCAAGUUGACACACACCGGCGUUAAGCGUGAUUAGAGUGAUUACACAGAUUAGAGUUAAACCCAAAUUUAGUCGUGAUACACUUGUCCCCGGGAAACCCAAAAACGAAAGUUACUCUAACCAACCCACUUGACCCCACGACAGCUAAGACACAAACUGGGAUUAGGUACCCCACUAUGCCUAGCCGUAAAACAUAUACUCACCCCAACAAAUCGCCAGGGAAUUACGAGCCCAAGCUUAAAACCCAAAGGACUUGACGGUGUCCCACCCACCUAGAGGAGCCUGUUCUAUAAUCGAUUCCCCCCGAUAAACCUCACCACUUCUAGCCAACUCAGCCUGUAUACCUCCGUCGUAAGCUUACCAUGUGAACGAAACCAGUGAGCCCAAAGAUCCCACAUCAAUACGUCAGGUCAAGGUGCAGCUAACGAACUGGAAAGAAAUGGGCUACAAUUUCUACAAUAGAACAAACGAAAGACUACAUGAAACAUAGUCACUGAAGGCGGAUUUAGCAGUAAAAAGGAAAUAGAGAGUUCUUUUUAACAAGGCGCUGGGACGCGUACACACCGCCCGUCACCCUCUUCAAAUG